RNAcentral lists this ribosomal RNA (691 nucleotides) under uncultured Clavulina. RNAcentral describes it as "eukaryotic LSU rRNA". The stretch from base 257 to 410 matches the Rfam family "5.8S ribosomal RNA". The record is from RNAcentral. Lineage: Eukaryota; Fungi; Basidiomycota; Agaricomycetes; Cantharellales; Hydnaceae.
AAGUCGUAACAAGGUUUCCGUAGGUGAACCUGCGGAAGGAUCAUUAAUGAGUUGUGAUGGGGUUUGAUGCUGGCAGCCAAAUUUUGGAUGCAUGUGCUUGCCCUGACAAUCAUCUUCCAAACACCUGUGCACAUUUUUGAGGGAGUUUCGAGUUAAUUGCCACUUUUGGUGAUUUUCUCGCGUUCCCUUAAAUUUUAUUAUACGCUGUUAACAAAUGCUGAACGUGCUUUGUGCCGCAAGGCCCUUAAUAUAAUACAACUUUUAACAACGGAUCUCUUGGCUCUCGCAUCGAUGAAGAACGCAGCGAAAUGCGAUAAGUAAUGUGAAUUGCAGAAUUCAGUGAAUCAUCGAAUCUUUGAACGCACCUUGCGCUCCCUGGUAUUCCGGGGAGCACGCCUGUUCGAGUGUCGUGAAAUUUCUCGAGCUUGGAUGGCUUUUUUGUCCGUCCUUAGCCUUGGUUGUUGGGCUUUGCCGUGCCCUUCAUUGGGACGGCUGGCCUUAAAAGCAUUAGCUGAUCCUCGUGUGGCACUGGUUCUACUCAGCGUGAUAAUUGUCUGAUCGCUGAGGACAUCUUUUGGGAUGGCCAGUCCUCAUUUGGGUUGCUUCUAAACCUGGUCUUGCAGAUUCUUCAAUCUGUGUUCCACUUUUCAGCUUUGACCUCGAAUCAGGUGGGACUACCCGCUGAACUUAA